GGUUGGUUAGAGUGCAGUGUUCUUUAUAACUAAUUGAUCACAACCAGUUACAGACUUCUUUGUUCCUUCUCCACUCCCACUGCUUCACUUGACUAGAUUUAA
RNAcentral lists this Y RNA (102 nucleotides) under Propithecus coquereli (Coquerel's sifaka). RNAcentral's name for it is "Y RNA (ENSPCOG00000001443.1)". It matches the Rfam family "Y RNA". Rfam says of the family: Y RNAs are components of the Ro ribonucleoprotein particle (Ro RNP), in association with Ro60 and La proteins. The Y RNAs and Ro60 and La proteins are well conserved, but the function of the Ro RNP is not known. Lineage: Eukaryota; Metazoa; Chordata; Mammalia; Primates; Indriidae. The record is from Rfam by way of RNAcentral.